RNAcentral lists this long non-coding RNA (1696 nucleotides) under Rattus norvegicus (Norway rat). RNAcentral describes it as "long non-coding RNA NONRATT030017". Lineage: Eukaryota; Metazoa; Chordata; Mammalia; Rodentia; Muridae. The record is from RNAcentral.
CCGAGGCAGAGGUUUGUAAGAGUUCUUGAACAGAUCUCCUCCCCACCCCCUGCUGUGUGGCCCGGAGCGAAAUCUUCAUUUUUACAUAUUAGGAUGUUGUGCUGCAUACUUAUAUUUUUUGAAAACAGGCACUGACGUAUAUCAUUUAGAAACGAUCCUGUGGUUUCUUAAACUUAGACUAGCUAUAAAUGUAGCAACGUGCCCAAGACAAACCAAAACCGAGUAAACCCCAUCACUGUGACCUUGAAUUUAUUUGGGAUAAAACAGACUGUGCCUUAAAACGACAAAGCAAAGCCCUGCAACCUGUAGCUGUGUUCUACUUCUCCGGGUUGCCUGGAGUCCCUUCUUUUAAGUUGUUGGAACAAAAGUUCUCAGUACCCAUCGGCCCACACUUACUUAGAGCUCACAUGGCUGCUGCUCCUGAGGCCACCCUUACUUUCCAGAGUUUUUUGUUGUUGUUUGUUUGUUUUUAUUUUAAUUUAAGAUUGGCUUAGUCUGGAUGUGUGCGAGAAAUUAGGUUUGGUUAAAGUUUCUGGGGGAAAAUAUUUUAGGGAUAGUCACAACACUUCUGUUUCUAAACUCACUGAAUACAGAAAAAUUAAUGACUGAAAUGUCUCUUUGCUCUGCUGAUAAUGAUCUUACCAGAGCUCCUUCCGAGACGUGUGCUGAGCGUUGAGGCAGACUGAGACAUGUUUAUAUUUCCAAAUGAGGGUCAUUUCCCAGUGACUCAGCUCAAAUGAAGGUAGUUUUUUUUUUUUCCCCAGCAUUACUAUUUCAUUUUUCUUGUUCCUUUUCCUGCCUUGUUAUUUUUAUGGUAUCAAGGGAGAAUUAGCUCCUCUUUUUAGUUUAAUUUAAAUUCUCACACUUUUAUGUGUUUAUUUAAAACAAUGAGUAUAACUUCCAUUAAAGUCCAAAUUAAUCAAUUUUAAGCAUAAUCACAGUCUUUGCCCAAAGAUGCCCACAUUUCUGGGAACUCGGUCUGUUGUUUAUUUUUACAUGUUCCUUUUGGGCAUACACUCAAUGUAUUUCCUCCAGGUUCACCUCCAUGACUAUUACAAUUUUAUAUUUAAAUAAGUCUUCUUAGAAACAUGUAGAAAUGACAGUAUGUCUCUUUUAAAGGCCCGGCCAGAUUGACAAGAAGUUGUGGAGGCAGUAGGUGAAUAAUGAGAUCAGUUUCUACCUUGCGGUUAAGCGUGUAGAGCACACACUCCUCGUGGCUGCUGAGGGAGACUGUGUACAGCGAUCAUUUAUUUGUACACUGGUUAAGUUCCCAUCCAGAAAGUGUCGUGUGGUACCAAUGCGCCGUGCAGGGAGCCUGUCCUGAAGUGACCGCUGAGAACAGCCUCAGCACGGCUCUCCCUCUCUUAGCCUGCAUGCUGUUCCCCAGUGCGGUGUACCACGUGCAGGGCACUGAACACACGUGCGUGUAGUUUCCUGUGUAUUUUUGGUAUCGUGUAAUUAACACUGUUACAUUUAACUGGUUGUGAUUUGGGGGAAAGUGCUACUUAUUCUACUUCGUGGAGUAUUGUGAAUGUUUUUACCUGUGUUUCAGCAUUAUGAUGUGGCUUUAUUAUGUGAAUAUUUGCCUUCAGUCUCCGCUCAGGUACUAACGUGUAGCGACUUUUGGUGCUUUGUUUUUAAUUUGUCAUAAUCUGGUGUUCUUUAUGUUCAAAAAUAAAUUUGGUGAAUAAGCACA